CUUGAGUAACUAUAAGAGGUCCAGCCUGCCCAGUGACUUUGUUCAACGGCCGCGGUAUCCUAACCGUGCGAAGGUAGCGUAAUCACUUGUCUUUUAAAUGGGGACUUGUAUGAACGGCAUCACGAGGGUUAUACUGUCUCCUUUUUCUAAUCAGUGAAACUAAUCUUCCCGUGAAGAAGCGGGAAUAAACAUAUAAGACGAGAAGACCCUAUGGAGCUUUAAACUCAAUAACAAAUACUGACCUUACAUCAACUUUCAGAAGAUUCACCUUAAUUUUAGUAUUAUGAUUAUUAGUUUUAGGUUGGGGUGACCGCGGAGUAAAAAUUAACCUCCACAUUGAACGGGACCUAUCCCUGAGCCAAGAACUACAGCUCAAAGCACCAACAAAUUGACAUUAAUUGACCCAAUAUUUUGAUCAACGAAC
This 424-nucleotide ribosomal RNA is filed under the name Osteocephalus oophagus (oophagous slender-legged treefrog). Its description in RNAcentral is "partial large subunit ribosomal RNA". It matches the Rfam family "Bacterial large subunit ribosomal RNA", at positions 1834 to 2439 of the family's 2925-position model. RNAcentral also lists the same sequence under 1 other name. Lineage: Eukaryota; Metazoa; Chordata; Amphibia; Anura; Hylidae. The record is from RNAcentral.